This 211-nucleotide unclassified non-coding RNA is filed under the name plant metagenome. Its description in RNAcentral is "partial contains small subunit ribosomal RNA, internal transcribed spacer 1, and 5.8S ribosomal RNA". The record is from RNAcentral.
UUUCCGUAGGUGAACCUGCGGAAGGAUCAUUCAUAAUAAAGUGUUUUAUGGCACUUUUUAAAAAUCCAUAUCCACCUUGUGUGCAAUGUUAGAUCUCGUCAAUCUUGGCGAGAUUUUUAUACAUCAACUCAUUCUUUAACUAAUUUGUCUGAAAAAUAUUAUGAAUACAUAAUUCAAAAUACAACUUUCAACAACGGAUCUCUUGGCUCUC